UGUGUGUGUUAGUGGAAGCGUCUGGAAAGGCGCGCGAUACAGGGUGACAGCCCCGUACACAAAAAUGCACAUACUGUGAGCUCGAUGAGUAGGGCGGGACACGUGGUAUCCUGUCUGAAUAUGGGGGGACCAUCCUCCAAGGCUAAAUACUCCUGACUGACCGAUAGUGAACCAGUACCGUGAGGGAAAGGCGAAAAGAACCCCGGCGAGGGGAGUGAAAAAGAACCUGAAACCGUGUACGUACAAGCAGUGGGAGCACGCUUAGGCGUGUGACUGCGUACCUUUUGUAUAAUGGGUCAGCGACUUAUAUUCUGUAGCAAGGUUAACCGAAUAGGGGAGCCGAAGGGAAACCGAGUCUUAACUGGGCGUUAAGUUGCAGGGUAUAGACCCGAAACCCGGUGAUCUAGCCAUGGGCAGGUUGAAGGUUGGGUAACACUAACUGGAGGACCGAACCGACUAAUGUUGAAAAAUUAGCGGAUGACUUGUGGCUGGGGGUGAAAGGCCAAUCAAACCGGGAGAUAGCUGGUUCUCCCCGAAAGCUAUUUAGGUAGCGCCUCGUGAAUUCAUCUCCGGGGGUAGAGCACUGUUUCGGCAAGGGGGUCAUCCCGACUUACCAACCCGAUGCAAACUGCGAAUACCGGAGAAUGUUAUCACGGGAGACACACGGCGGGUGCUAACGUCCGUCGUGAAGAGGGAAACAACCCAGACCGCCAGCUAAGGUCCCAAAGUCAUGGUUAAGUGGGAAACGAUGUGGGAAGGCCCAGACAGCCAGGAUGUUGGCUUAGAAGCAGCCAUCAUUUAAAGAAAGCGUAAUAGCUCACUGGUCGAGUCGGCCUGCGCGGAAGAUGUAACGGGGCUAAACCAUG
This 866-nucleotide ribosomal RNA is filed under the name Escherichia coli. Its description in RNAcentral is "partial 23S ribosomal RNA". It matches the Rfam family "Bacterial large subunit ribosomal RNA", at positions 321 to 1191 of the family's 2925-position model. Lineage: Bacteria; Pseudomonadati; Pseudomonadota; Gammaproteobacteria; Enterobacterales; Enterobacteriaceae. The record is from RNAcentral.